Molecule: long non-coding RNA, 3448 nt
Organism: Rhinopithecus roxellana (golden snub-nosed monkey)
Lineage: Eukaryota; Metazoa; Chordata; Mammalia; Primates; Cercopithecidae
Exons: 3
Source: RefSeq, a predicted model, not a curated record
CUUGGCUGUGGCUUCUGUGGAGAAGAUGAGGUCUGAGGGCAACACCCUUCCCCACAGCUCCUUCAACUUGAUGAGUGGCUGAAGCCUGUGUCCCAGUGACUGCUGGGGUUCCAAGGAAGUUUGUAAGUGUAGAAAGGGCUAAGCAGGUAAGAGAUAGGGGAGCAAACUGAAUGUGAGACGUUUGAUGAGAAGAACUUAGGCUGGAGCACGGACUGGCUGGACUCAAAUUCUUGCUCUUAGUUCUAUGACCUUGGGCUAUUUCUCUAUGCCUGAGUUUCUUCAUCUGAAAAUGGGACAAGUGAGUCCCUUUCUCAUGAAGUUGCUGUGAGGAGUACAUGAAAUUAUACAUGUAAAAGCCUUGGAACAUAUACUAAGUGCUAUUUAAGCAAGAGUUUGGGUUGGAUGCAUUGGCUCAUCCCAGCACUGUGGGAAGCGGAGGUGGGAGGAUCGCUUGAGGCCGGGAGUUUGAGACCAGCCUGGUCAACAUAGCGAGACUCCAUCUCUACAAAAGAAGAAAAAUUAGCCAGGCAUGAUGGUGUGUGCCUGUAGUGAUCACUUGAGCCCAGAAGUUCAAGGCUGCAGUGAGCUAUGAUUAUGCCACUACACUCCAGCCUGGGUGACAGAGCAAGACCCUGUCAGAAAGAAAGAGAGAAAGAGAGAGAGAGAGAGAAAGGAAGGAAAGAAAGAAGGAAGGAAGGAAGGAAGGAGAGAGAGAAAGAUUCUAGAAUCUCUAGAUUUGGGGAAGCCCAAAGAGCAACACUAAGACAAGAGACAGGCAGACUGGUCACAGAAGAGUGAUUUCUAUAGGAGGGGAUGGAUGGGUUGGGAAGUAACUAGAAAGACGUCCACAGGGUGGGCUGGGGUAUGGAAGUGAGGGUUGCCUGGGCUCUCUCACCAUGGCACCCUCUGGCAGAGUCAGUCUGUUCUCCUCCCUGAUGGGACCUCCUUCCCGCUCCCUCUUGGGCUCCACUGUAGAAAUGGAUGGUGCCCGAGGCAGGGGGCCAUCCCCACGAUGCCGUUUGGUCACAUGGGCGUCAGGACCAUGCACUGUCUUGACAUGUUUUCGCAGCGAGCUGGGAUCUGUAUAGCGUUUGGUGCAGCCAGGGAGCUUACACACAUACGGCUUCUGUUGAGUGCAGAGUGGAGACAAAGGCAAAUGGAUCAAAGUGGAAGAAUGCAGAAGAAAUGGGAAAAAGUGAUGACAACACGGGGGACAGGGGAAGAGCACACAGCACCAAAGGAAGUGCGUCUUCAGGUUUUCGAGGCGUGAAUAUGACUUCCGGCACCCUUCAAACUGGGGGACAUGCGGGGUUCAAAGGAUAGUUCUCAGACAGAGGACAUGGAGAUGGAAGGAAUCCUCAGUCUCCAAAAGGACACACAUCAGAGAAUAUAACUCAAGACGAAAGGCACUGGGGCUUUGAGAGAAUUCCCAAAACUAGGGGACAAGGGCAGAAGAAAGGACUUACAAAAGCAAAAGUCUGCCUUGGGCCCUAUCUUGAAGGAGAGCCCCGAUUUAGGAAGAGACCCUGGACUUGGGACCCUGGUGCCUCACCGUGCACUUGUGUGGCUUCUCGCCAGUGUGUCUGCGCAUGUGCACCACCAGCAUGUACUGGGCUUUGAAGGGCCUCAGCUCCCUGGAGCAGCCCCCCCAGUGGCACACGAACUCCUUCCGCUCCCCGUGGAUGUGCUCGCUGUUGAUAUGCUGAGGGAGAAGAUACAAAGGCUCUCCGAGGCUCCGCCAUGCCCCCAAGGUCCAGAACAGACCUUCCCUCCACUCCCUGUUCCUCUUCCACGACUCCACCUCAAGGAGGAAGAGGCAGGAACAAUAUCAUAUCUCACAUCUCAGGUCUUCCAGCUCCCUAAGGCAAAGUUACAACUUCUGAGCUUCUGCCUACCCAACUGAGCAUUCAACCUCAGUCUCCUCUGACCUCCUGCCCUCAGCCAGAUUCUACCAUGUCCCACUCAGAAUCUCCUCAAGUUUCUAAAGUUUCCGGUUAGCCAUUCCUGUUACCCCCUGGGGCUCACGUGCACCAGCUGCUCUUGGGAAUCAAAUUCCUGGCUGCAGCCAUCCCAACGGCAGUCAGUCUCAUACACAGAUUCAGGCUCACGCUUCUCCUCUCUCUCAAGGUCCUCUCGCCCAUCCAGCAUCCCCAACAGGGAAUCCUAGGGCAAGAGAGGCAAUCUUAGGGUCACUUGGGUGACAGCUUUAGUUUUGCUCAGGUCCUAGAGGUAAAGCUCCCGCCCAUCCCCUUACCUGUAUGCCUGUGGAGUUGGGGCUGGACAUAUCACCUUCCAAGGGCUCCUCCCGGCACUUGCCAACCAGCAUGUCCAGCUCAGACUUCAGCUUCCCCAGGGGAAGAGGUGACGGUGAUGAGGGUGGAAGUCAGCAGAAGGAAGAGUAAACCAAGCCAGGUCUUCCUGCCCUAAGUGCCCCCACCCAAGCAGCUGGAACCUUCUGGGUUUGGAAGGGACUUCCUUCUCAGACUACACUGGUGAAUGGGAUGGGCAAAAGAUCCCAUUUGGAAGUGUCUGACUCAACUGCAAGGAGUGAACCCCAGCACCCACACUUCUUUACUUUUCUAGUACUGAAAACUUAUAACCCUUGUCCUUCCUUCACCUUUCCCCUACAGAAUCCACCACCCACCCACCCUGAGCUAAGGGAAAUCAGGUAGCAAUAUGGGGACUCUCACCUGGCAAGUUGGGAGGGGUCCCCGGGACUGAGGGUGUGGGAUCAUCCCACCCCGGACGGAGUCAUGGGGACCACAAGGCUGGACUCCGAAGGAAGGUGAGGGCCCUUUUUGGUGAUUCAUCUGGGCUGGGAAUCCCAGAGACGGGCUAAGGAGGAGAGAAGGCAGUUACUUAAGACAAUCUGGAAGUCUCAGGAGGGAUUGGGCUAUUUGGAGGAUUUCUGGAAGACUUGGGAUUUGAAGUGGUUGAGGCAGUCCCAGGGAAGUACUGAGGAGGGUUGUCCUUGAAAUGACAAGGAUUCAAAUAGGGUCAGGUGGUUUGAGGGCUUGAGACUUUUAAUGGACUUGGGUAGGGGCUCUAGGGGCCUCUUGGCCCGGGGCUGACUGCACCUCAUGGUGCUGAUGGAGAGAUGGCCAUAAGAGCCUCCUGGAGAUGUGCAUCGCGAGUUGAUGAAAGCUACGAGGGAGCUGGGUGAAGUGCGGAUAACCGUCUGCAAGUCCAGGCUGGCGUCCGACAGAGGUGAAAUGGACAGUGCCCGCUUCUUGGUCAACUUGACUGCACUCCGGGAAGAAGAAAAGAGUGGGCCUGGGGCAGGAGACAGGGGAGAUGGAUAUGGUAAAGGGGCAUGUCUCUCCACACACCUAACCUAUAGGUCCUGACUUGGCAAAACCAAUGAGACUUGAAUCUGCUUUGCCCUACUGAUCCUAUGUGUGACUUUUUUUUUUUUUUUGAGACAGAGAGAGAGUCAUGCUCUGUCACC